AUGCCCCUGCCGUGUUCGUGAUUAGACCAUGCUCUUUGACCCAAUGUUGAAUUAAAGGGAGCUUUCACUGAUUUUGGUGAGCAAGUUCUACUUGUAUAGAAAAGCCUAAAGAAAUUAUAAAGCACCCACCUUUUAAAAUGGGUUCAAAGACUUGCUAACACGGCACUAUGGCGGGGGCUUU
This 181-nucleotide non-coding RNA is filed under the name Desulfococcaceae bacterium HSG7. Its description in RNAcentral is "6S RNA". It matches the Rfam family "6S / SsrS RNA". From Rfam's summary of the family: E. coli 6S RNA was the first non coding RNA to be sequenced, but its function was unknown until recently. It consists of 184 nucleotides that fold into an extended hairpin structure with a large single-stranded internal bulge. RNAcentral also lists the same sequence under 1 other name. The record is from RNAcentral. Lineage: Bacteria; Pseudomonadati; Thermodesulfobacteriota; Desulfobacteria; Desulfobacterales; Desulfococcaceae.